GACAGAGGGUGCAAACGUUGUUCGGAAUUACUGGGCGUAAAGCGCGUGUAGGCAGCUCGGAAAGUCGGAUGUGAAAGCCCUGGGCUCAACCUAGGAAGUGCACUCGAAACUGGCAGGCUAGAGUACUGGAGAGGUUGGUGGAAUUCUCGGUGUAGAGGUGAAAUUCGUAGAUAUCGAGAGGAACACCGGUGGCGAAGGCGGCCAACUGGACAGAUACUGACGCUGAGACACGAAAGCGUGGGGAGCAAACAGG
Molecule: ribosomal RNA, 253 nt
Filed under: uncultured bacterium
Lineage: Bacteria
Description: partial 16S ribosomal RNA
Rfam family: Bacterial small subunit ribosomal RNA
Source: RNAcentral